RNAcentral lists this ribosomal RNA (241 nucleotides) under uncultured bacterium. RNAcentral's name for it is "partial 16S ribosomal RNA". It matches the Rfam family "Bacterial small subunit ribosomal RNA", at positions 116 to 354 of the family's 1533-position model. The record is from RNAcentral.
CGUGAGCAACCUGCCUUUCAGGAGGGGGAUAACGAUUGGAAACGAUCGCUAAUACCGCAUAACAUUGCAGAGCCGCAUGGUUUUGCAAUCAAAGGAGCAAUCCGCUGAGAGAUGGGCUCGCGUCCAAUUAGGUAGAUGGCGGGGUAGAGGCCCACCAUGCCGACGAUUGGUAGCCGGACUGAGAGGUUGAACGGCCACAUUGGGACUGAGACACGGCCCAGACUCCUACGGGAGGCAGCAG